AACUAGCCUCUAAUGUGAGAGGGUACCCCCUGGAUUUAAGC
RNAcentral lists this ribosomal RNA (41 nucleotides) under Naegleria lovaniensis. RNAcentral's name for it is "partial large subunit ribosomal RNA". Lineage: Eukaryota; Heterolobosea; Eutetramitea; Acrasida; Naegleriidae. The record is from RNAcentral.